This 253-nucleotide ribosomal RNA is filed under the name uncultured bacterium. Its description in RNAcentral is "partial 16S ribosomal RNA". It matches the Rfam family "Bacterial small subunit ribosomal RNA", at positions 524 to 776 of the family's 1533-position model. The record is from RNAcentral.
UACGUAGGUGGCGAGCGUUGUCCGGAAUUACUGGGCGUAAAGGGCGUGUAGGUGGCCUUUUAAGUCAGGCGUGAAAACCCACGGCUUAACCGUGGGCCUGCGCUUGAAACUGGGGGGCUUGAGGGCAGGAGAGGAAAGCGGAAUUCCCAGUGUAGCGGUGAAAUGCGUAGAUAUUGGGAGGAACACCAGUGGCGAAGGCGGCUUUCUGGACUGACCCUGACACUGAGGCGCGAAAGCCAGGGGAGCGAACGGG